Limulus polyphemus (Atlantic horseshoe crab) is the source of this 234-nucleotide long non-coding RNA. RefSeq lists it as uncharacterized. The transcript has 3 exons. The record is from RefSeq and is a predicted model, not a curated record. NCBI's taxonomy places the organism in Eukaryota, Metazoa, Arthropoda, Merostomata, Xiphosura, Limulidae.
GCGGGUAGAUGGCGCGACAAUUGUUUGAAAGCAGACGAUCCCGAGCCAACAAGUCAGCCUUAGUUACCCGGGGACGAGAAUACUUGUCGAGACCUAUAAUGUAGUGAAUGGCAUCCAUCCACGUUGCUGCUAACGUAGAAACAAGGAGACUUAUCAGGAAAGGCAGUCCUGGAGAAAGACACGGCAUCAAGGAAAACGUCAGUACUAAUCUAUAGGAAACAAUCAACGAGUGAC